Molecule: ribosomal RNA, 513 nt
Filed under: Triticum aestivum (bread wheat)
Lineage: Eukaryota; Viridiplantae; Streptophyta; Magnoliopsida; Poales; Poaceae
Description: partial small subunit ribosomal RNA
Source: RNAcentral
AUGUUUGGAGAAGCCACAGGUCUGAAGAUAAAUCGUCAGAAAUCAACUGCAACUCCAAUCCGUUGUGAAGAAGUUGACAUCCAGCAGGUGCUACAGAGUUUUGGGGGCACCGUGGCCAUGUUCCCAAUGAAAUACCUAGGGCUGCCACUCACCCUCACUAGAACCAGGAUCGUGCACCUCCAGUUCAUCCUCGAUCGGAUCAGGGCAAGGCUGGCCGGAUGGAAAGGAAAGCUCAUGUCCAUCGCCGGCAGGCGGGUUCUAGUCAGAGCAGUUCUAAGUGCAAUUCCUACUUUUGCGCUCACCGUGCUUCGCAUGCCGAAGAAGUUUUUCAAAGAGAUCGACAAGGUGCGGCGACGUUUCCUUUGGGAACAAGAUGAGGAGCUCUCUGGUGGCAAAUGUAAGGUCAACUGGUCCAAGGUUUGCUCUCCACUGGACAAGGGCGGGCUGGGGAUCAUCGACCUCGAGCGCUUCGCCAGAGCUCUACGGCAAAGAUGGCUCUGGUUAACAUGGUAG